This 473-nucleotide ribosomal RNA is filed under the name uncultured bacterium. RNAcentral's name for it is "bacterial SSU rRNA". It matches the Rfam family "Bacterial small subunit ribosomal RNA", at positions 28 to 507 of the family's 1533-position model. The record is from RNAcentral.
GAUGAACGCUAGCGGAAGGCUUAAUACAUGCAAGUCGAGCGGUAUAGUGACUUCGGUUGCUAGAGAGCGGCGCACGGGUGAGUAACGCGUACAUGACCUACCUCUAAGAUCGGGAUAGCCCUGGGAAACUGGGAUUAAUACCGGAUGUGAUAAUAAGUAUAAGGAUUUAUUAUUAAAGUUGAGGCGCUUAGAGAUGGGUGUGCGUCUGAUUAGCUAGUUGGUAGGGUAAGGGCCUACCAAGGCGACGAUCAGUAGGGGGCGUGAGAGCGUGAUCCCCCACACGGGUACUGAGACACGGACCCGACUCCUACGGGAGGCAGCAGUAGGGAAUUUUGCGCAAUGGACGAAAGUCUGACGCAGCGACGCCGCGUGAAGGAUGAAGGUUUUCGGAUUGUAAACCCCUUUCGGGAGGGAAGAUGGAGCGAGCAAUCGUUCGGACGGUACCUCCAGAAGCAGCCACGGCCAACUUCGUG